RNAcentral lists this ribosomal RNA (495 nucleotides) under uncultured bacterium. Its description in RNAcentral is "partial 16S ribosomal RNA". It matches the Rfam family "Bacterial small subunit ribosomal RNA", at positions 28 to 507 of the family's 1533-position model. The record is from RNAcentral.
GACGAACGCUGGCGGCGUGCCUAAUACAUGCAAGUAGAACGCUGAAGGAGGAGCUUGCUCUUCUGUAUGAGUUGCGAACGGGUGAGUAACGCGUAGGUAACCUGCCUGUUAGCGGGGGAUAACUAUUGGAAACGAUAGCUAAUACCGCAUAAGAGUAGAUGUUGCAUGACAUUUACUUAAAAGAUGCAAUUGCAUCACUACCAGAUGGACCUGCGUUGUAUUAGCUAGUUGGUGGGGUAACGGCUUACCAAGGCGACGAUCCAUAGCCGACCUGAGAGGGUGAUCGGCCACACUGGGACUGAGACACGGCCCAGACUCCUACGGGAGGCAGCAGUAGGGAAUCUUCGGCAAUGGACGGAAGUCUGACCGAGCAACGCCGCGUGAGUGAAGAAGGUUUUCGGAUCGUAAAGCUCUGUUGUAAGAGAAGAACGGGUGGGAGAGUGGAAAGUUCACACUGUGACGGUAUCUUAACAGAAAGGGACGGCUAACUACGUG